UCAUCUUCAGCUUACAUGGUUUGUGAGUUGUACAUUACAAAAAUUCACUCAACCUUUCCAAGCCACACUCUAUGCCUUACAUUUAUAGUAAGUUCUACAUUACAAAAUUUUUACUUGGCACAACUAAUAUAGAGACAUACAAAGAAAUAUCAAUACAUAUUCAAAAGGGUUCCCCAAGUGUAAAAUUAUCUCUAACCGAAAGUACAAAAUAAACUAGAAUAUUAAAU
RNAcentral lists this long non-coding RNA (227 nucleotides) under Panax ginseng (ginseng). RNAcentral describes it as "long non-coding RNA (PGIN_LNC012487)". The record is from RNAcentral. Lineage: Eukaryota; Viridiplantae; Streptophyta; Magnoliopsida; Apiales; Araliaceae.